GCCGGAGUGGCGGAACUGGCAGACGCGCAUGGUUCAGGUCCAUGUGGGCGCAAGCCCGUGGGGGUUCGAGUCCCUUCUCCGGCACCA
Molecule: transfer RNA, 87 nt
Filed under: Acidobacteriota bacterium
Lineage: Bacteria; Pseudomonadati; Acidobacteriota
Description: Acidobacteria bacterium (stromatolite metagenome) tRNA-Leu
Rfam family: tRNA
About the family: Transfer RNA (tRNA) molecules are approximately 80 nucleotides in length.
Source: RNAcentral